GCCUGAGGCACAGGAAACCAGGGAUUUCUAUUACUCAGUUACAGCACCCUUGUCCACCAGUCUCUCUUUGCCAGUCUCUCUAGAGCACUCACGCCUAUUUAUUUGAUCUUAUGACCUACCAAGAUCAACCAGGCCCAGUGACUGAGUUUGGAGCUAUGAACCAUGGUGGGAUCUGCAGAGAGCAGACAACUAAAGACGGUGACUCCUCCUGUCCCAGAAUCUAUCAACUAACCAAUAGUUCGGAGGGUCCACAUCUUAGCCCACAGUAGAAGAAACUGGAAAAGAUGAUCAUGAAUUUCCACAAACUGCCAUGAUGGAGUGACAGGGACCCAAUGUAUCUUCUCAGAUUAGACCACCAGAAAACUGA
Molecule: non-coding RNA, 367 nt
Organism: Peromyscus maniculatus bairdii (prairie deer mouse)
Lineage: Eukaryota; Metazoa; Chordata; Mammalia; Rodentia; Cricetidae
Source: RefSeq, a predicted model, not a curated record